UUUUCCUUCGAUUUCCUUACACUAAGAGACAUCAGUAUUGGUUGAAGUUAGAAACAAUUUUUAUGCAAAAACAAGCUGAGAUUGCUGUUUGGGGUGAGCCAAGGCUCUUUCUUAAAUGCUGUUAUUUGGCCUAUAAUUAUUAACUUUAAAUACAUUGUGACCAUGGAUUUUUUUCUCAAUAUGGCUAUAAAUGACCCGUUUUUCUUCGAUUUCCUUACUUUAAGAAAUAUCAGUAAUGCUGGAUCCUGGAAGCAAUUUUUAUGCAAACAAUUAUUACCUGUAUUUAAAGAUAUUUUUAUUAGAAAUCAAACUGGUAAGUUUAAAAAAACAUAUAAAGCAACUAAGAUCAUGGAACGCAAGAUAAUUUUUUUAUCGAGGACCUUGGAUUUCAAUAUUGUUGAAAGCUGAACAGACAUGUACAUAACUAAAAACAGGGACUUUAAAUACAGUCAAGUAUAUACUUAGUAUAGAAAGUCCCUGUUACAACGAAUGGGGUGAACUACUAAGGCAUUAACCAUAAUGUUCUCGUACGAUCGGGAGAAGCGGUUAAAAGAGCUGAUUCAGCCGGUAAUUUUGUGUAGAA
This 583-nucleotide long non-coding RNA is filed under the name Mytilus galloprovincialis (Mediterranean mussel). The record is from RNAcentral. Lineage: Eukaryota; Metazoa; Mollusca; Bivalvia; Mytilida; Mytilidae.